AGCAAAUAUUACGUAUUAAUUUGUUUGUUUAAAUCGAUCAAAUAUAAAGUUAAAUUUUACUGAAAAAAAUUUUUUUUUAUAGUUUGAGUUUUGAAUUUAAUCGGAAGGGAAAUAAAUUGAAAUGAUAUUAUUGUGUAUUUAAUACUGAUUUAGAUUUCUAAUUAAUACGGUAGUUGCUGCCACCAGAUGUAGUCUAAGGACUAUUUCAAAAUAUUUUAUUUUUAUUAUUUUCUUUUACGUUUAAUGGGUAGCGUUAACUGACGCCUAAUGCAACUGGUAAACGAAUUCCAUUUUUCGGCUAACCUGCUAUGCGCAGGGAUGCUAGCACGGGAGAGGAUUAAAGCUGGGUACAAUAAAUAUUUUUCCUCGUUGAACAGAUUUUCUAUUUGAAUGUAAAAUUGCUUAGGUUAUUAUAUAUAUAUAUUUUAUUAGCUGGAUAUAUAUAUUUUAGUGUUGCUGGAUUAGAUAGGGAUGUGAGAUUUUUGUUGUUUUAUAUAAAUUUAUCUUUACGUUUGUUUAAAGUUAAACAAUGAUUCUAUUCUCAAAACCCUUCACGGAAAUAAGACGAGAUUGAUGAUAGGAAGUUCUGGUUUGAUUCUCGAAAUUAUCAGAGAAGACGAAAUUUUAAAAAAUUUAUUUUCUUACCUUGAGGAGAAGGUGCUGUCGGGUGCCAUUACUCCAGCUGCUCAGGUGAUCGUCGAAGUUUGUUGGGUUUAUUAUUUAAUCUCGAAUAUAGUUUUCUAUCAACCUUUACUUUAUUUAGCUAUUUCGAUACAGAUUGAAUAACUCGCUAACUGAAUUAAUACAGCAAUGGGGACUUAAAAUUCUUCUUUUAUUUAAUCGCGACUCUCUUGUCUUUACCGAAAAAACUAAAAGACCCCGAAACGCAAAAUACUUAUACAAAUCUUUGAAUGCAAUAAUGAGCGAACGGCAAUAACAAUGAUCACUAUAAUGAUGAACCAAGAUUAAAGCCCACGCUCUAUGUUGCUACGCUUAUUUAUAAUGCCAUCCCCACGGGAUGGUGGUCCACUGGGGGUAUGCUUCCGUGGGAAUCAGGAUGUUGCAGUUUGAAUUUCUUGAAAUCGUACGUGAGAGAAUGCGGGUUCCAUGCGUCGACUUAGUUCCUAUCAGUCCUGUGCUUCUGCUGAGCUAGCAUCUAGGAGGCUCGAAGCAUUCCAUGCUGAUCUAGUCCUUCCCGCGAGAAUCUUCCACGUGCUGUACCGUGGGAAUUAUCUGUGUUUCUUCGGUGCGUGCAAGGGUUGGCGGCCGCAGCAUCAUUAUCACUUCGAUGCUCGCUCGGGCAACACGCGCGACAUCCGCUGCUCUCCCGCUACAAGGACCUCCUUCUUUGAGUUAUUUUUGCGCUUUGGUGAUCGACGUUCGGACAAUGUUUGCGGAGGCAUUUCCAUCAGAGGUUUCUUAUUAUAUUAUUUUUAGAUGUAUUUUGUUUUUAUGUACGAAAUAUAUAUAUAUAUAUAUAUAUUUCUAUGUAUCUAUUAUACGUUUGUUAAAUAUAUUUAAUUUUAUAUUUCCCCCUUUUUAAUUAAUUAUAUAUAUUUUUACAUUUGCAUUUGACAGUGUAGUCGCUCAUAGAGUCUAUUAAAGAAAAUUGUUAACAAUAUGCUUUCAUGAUUUGUUUCUCGCGCCUGUUUUCCAUUAAUCCCUAAUAUUCCUGUCGCCAUGAUGCGUGUAAAUCCAACAUGGCUGCUCAUAAAUGUCAUCAGUAAAGUUUUAGUAACGGGUCUUUAGUUUUGUUUGAUAUCGAAGGACGAUUGUUUUUCCUGUCGCUCCUCUGGCCAAUGUGUUUAAGACUGCAAUAUUUCUGCCGGGAACAUGACGUGGUCCCGUAGUGCGUCCAGGUCCUCUUGGGUAUAUAUUCCGCUCAUGGUCACCGACGAUGGUGCUGAAUAUCGCCACGUUUGGCGCACGUCCGGGCGGAAUUUGUGUGGUGCGAUUCCCUUGCCAAACGGAUAGCUCCGAGUAGCAUUUUGUUGUAUGUCGUACUUUUACUUGUACCGGAAUGUAUUUGACUAUAUGGACCGCUUCUCCUGCGAUCAAAUCCAUGUGUCCUGGGUUUUGGUUAUGGUGUAUGCAAAUUCGUCGGGCGGUUUUACGUACUUGUUAUCAGUGAAAAUAAAUAUUAUGAAUACUACUUGGAUUGUAACUAUAUACAUAUAUGCGUAC
Molecule: long non-coding RNA, 2184 nt
Organism: Bombus huntii
Lineage: Eukaryota; Metazoa; Arthropoda; Insecta; Hymenoptera; Apidae
Exons: 4
Source: RefSeq, a predicted model, not a curated record